Molecule: transfer RNA, 66 nt
Filed under: Photobacterium toruni
Lineage: Bacteria; Pseudomonadati; Pseudomonadota; Gammaproteobacteria; Vibrionales; Vibrionaceae
Description: tRNA-Ser
Source: RNAcentral
ACACUUUAUGAGACGCUUGGCGGACUGCUAAUCCGCAUAUCACUGGUUCAAGUCCAGUAGAGUGAA